AUGAACGCUGGCGGCGUGCCUAAUACCUGCAAGUCGAGCGAACGGACGAGAAGCUUGCUUCUCUGAUGUUAGCGGCGGACGGGUGAGUAACACGUGGAUAACCUACCUAUAAGACUGGGAUAACUUCGGGAAACCGGAGCUAAUACCGGAUAAUAUUUUGAACCGCAUGGUUCAAAAGUGAAAGACGGUCUUGCUGUCACUUAUAGAUGGAUCCGCGCUGCAUUAGCUAGUUGGUAAGGUAACGGCUUACCAAGGCAACGAUGCAUAGCCGACCUGAGAGGGUGAUCGGCCACACUGGAACUGAGACACGGUCCAGACUCCUACGGGAGGCAGCAGUAGGGAAUCUUCCGCAAUGGGCGAAAGCCUGACGGAGCAACGCCGCGUGAGUGAUGAAGGUCUUCGGAUCGUAAAACUCUGUUAUUAGGGAAGAACAUAUGUGUAAGUAACUGUGCACAUCUUGACGGUACCUAAUCAGAAAGCCACGGCUAACUACG
This 494-nucleotide ribosomal RNA is filed under the name uncultured bacterium. RNAcentral's name for it is "partial 16S ribosomal RNA". It matches the Rfam family "Bacterial small subunit ribosomal RNA", at positions 29 to 505 of the family's 1533-position model. The record is from RNAcentral.